Molecule: ribosomal RNA, 798 nt
Filed under: uncultured crenarchaeote
Lineage: Archaea; Thermoproteati; Thermoproteota
Description: bacterial SSU rRNA
Rfam family: Archaeal small subunit ribosomal RNA
Source: RNAcentral
AUUUUCCGGUUGAUCCUGCCGGACCCGACCGCUAUCGGGGUGGGGCUAAGCCAUGGGAGUCGUGCGCCCGCCGCCGCGGGCGUGCGGGACGGCUGAGUAACACGUGGGUAACCUACCCUCGGGAGGGGGAUAACACCGGGAAACUGGGGCUAAUCCCCCAUAGGGGCGAGGGGGCCUGGAACGGGUCCCUCGCCGAAAGGGUGCGCGGAGCUUCCCCGCGCGCCGCCCGAGGAUGGGGCUGCGGCCCAUCAGGUAUUUGGCGGGGUAACGGCCCGCCAAGCCGAUAACGGGUAGGGGCCCUGGGAGGGGGAGCCCCCAGAUGGGCACUGAGACAAGGGCCCAGGCCCUACGGGGCGCACCAGGCGCGAAACCUCCGCAAUGCGGGCAACCGUGACGGGGUCACCCCGAGUGCCGCCGAUAAGGCGGCUGUUCCCCGCUGUAGGAAGGCGGGGGAGUAAGCGGGGGGCAAGUCUGGUGUCAGCCGCCGCGGUAAUACCAGCCCCGCGAGCGGUCGGGAUGCUUACUGGGCCUAAAGCGCCCGUAGCCGGCUCGGCGAGUCUCCCCCUAAAGCCCCGGGCUCAACCCGGGGGAUGGGGGAGAUACUGCCGGGCUAGGGGGCGGGAGAGGCCGAGGGUACUCCCGGGGUAGGGGCGAAAUCCGAUAAUUCCGGGAGGACGACCAGUGGCUACGGCGCUCGGCUGGAACGCGCCGACGGUGAGGGGCGAAAGCCGGGGCAGCAAACCGGAUUACAUACCCGGGUAGUCCCGGGCUGUAACAAUGCGGGCUAGGUGUUGGCCU